AAAUUGAAGAGUUUGAUCAUGGCUCAGAUUGAACGCUGGCGGCAGGCCUAACACAUGCAAGUCGAGCGGUAGCACAGAGAGCUUGCUCUCGGGUGACGAGCGGCGGACGGGUGAGUAAUGUCUGGGAAACUGCCUGAUGGAGGGGGAUAACUACUGGAAACGGUAGCUAAUACCGCAUAACGUCGCAAGACCAAAGUGGGGGACCUUCGGGCCUCAUGCCAUCAGAUGUGCCCAGAUGGGAUUAGCUAGUAGGUGGGGUAAUGGCUCACCUAGGCGACGAUCCCUAGCUGGUCUGAGAGGAUGACCAGCCACACUGGAACUGAGACACGGUCCAGACUCCUACGGGAGGCAGCAGUGGGGAAUAUUGCACAAUGGGCGCAAGCCUGAUGCAGCCAUGCCGCGUGUGUGAAGAAGGCCUUCGGGUUGUAAAGCACUUUCAGCGGGGAGGAAGGCGAUAAGGUUAAUAACCUUGUCGAUUGACGUUACCCGCAGAAGAAGCACCGGCUAACUCCGUGCCAGCAGCCGCGGUAAUACGGAGGGUGCAAGCGUUAAUCGGAAUUACUGGGCGUAAAGCGCACGCAGGCGGUCUGUCAAGUCGGAUGUGAAAUCCCCGGGCUCAACCUGGGAACUGCAUUCGAAACUGGCAGGCUAGAGUCUUGUAGAGGGGGGUAGAAUUCCAGGUGUAGCGGUGAAAUGCGUAGAGAUCUGGAGGAAUACCGGUGGCGAAGGCGGCCCCCUGGACAAAGACUGACGCUCAGGUGCGAAAGCGUGGGGAGCAAACAGGAUUAGAUACCCUGGUAGUCCACGCCGUAAACGAUGUCGAUUUGGAGGUUGUGCCCUUGAGGCGUGGCUUCCGGAGCUAACGCGUUAAAUCGACCGCCUGGGGAGUACGGCCGCAAGGUUAAAACUCAAAUGAAUUGACGGGGGCCCGCACAAGCGGUGGAGCAUGUGGUUUAAUUCGAUGCAACGCGAAGAACCUUACCUGGUCUUGACAUCCACAGAACUUUCCAGAGAUGGAUUGGUGCCUUCGGGAACUGUGAGACAGGUGCUGCAUGGCUGUCGUCAGCUCGUGUUGUGAAAUGUUGGGUUAAGUCCCGCAACGAGCGCAACCCUUAUCCUUUGUUGCCAGCGGU
This 1133-nucleotide ribosomal RNA is filed under the name Klebsiella pneumoniae. RNAcentral describes it as "bacterial SSU rRNA". It matches the Rfam family "Bacterial small subunit ribosomal RNA", at positions 1 to 1125 of the family's 1533-position model. Lineage: Bacteria; Pseudomonadati; Pseudomonadota; Gammaproteobacteria; Enterobacterales; Enterobacteriaceae. The record is from RNAcentral.